This 253-nucleotide ribosomal RNA is filed under the name uncultured prokaryote. RNAcentral describes it as "partial 16S ribosomal RNA". It matches the Rfam family "Bacterial small subunit ribosomal RNA", at positions 525 to 777 of the family's 1533-position model. The record is from RNAcentral.
ACGGAGGGUGCGAGCGUUGUCCGGAAUCACUGGGCGUAAAGGGCGCGUAGGUGGCGCGGGAAGUCAACGGUGAAAGUUCAGGGCUCAACCCUGAAUCGGCCGUCGAUACUCCCGGGCUUGAGCACUGUAGAGGCAGGUGGAAUUCCGGGUGUAGCGGUGGAAUGCGUAGAGAUCCGGAAGAACACCGGUGGCGAAGGCGGCAUCCUGGACCGGCAUUGACGCUGAGGCGCGAAAGCCAGGGGAGCAAACGGGA